GACGAACCGUGCGAACGUUAUUCGGAAUCACUGGGCUUAAAAGCGCGUGUAGGCGCCCCGGCACGUCCGUCGCUGAAAUCCCCCGGCUCAACCGGGGAAGUGGCGUGGGAGUACGACCGGGCUGGAGGGGGGUAGGGGGAGCCGGAACUUCCGGUGGAGCGGUGAAAUGCGUUGAGAUCGGAAGGAACGCCCGUGGCGAAAGCGGGCUCCUGGACCCCACCUGACGCGUGAGACGGCGAAAGCCCAGGGGAGCGAACGGG
Molecule: ribosomal RNA, 260 nt
Filed under: uncultured bacterium
Lineage: Bacteria
Description: partial 16S ribosomal RNA
Rfam family: Bacterial small subunit ribosomal RNA
Source: RNAcentral